ACAGAUGAAGGUUGUGCUGCUCUGGCUUCAGCUCUGAGAUCAAACCCCUCACACCUGAGAGAACUGGAUCUGUCUGGGAAUAAACUAGGAAAAUCAGGAGUUAAGUUACUCUCUGAUCUGAAAGAUGAUCCACAUUAUAAACUGGAGACAUUAUACUAUUG
Sinocyclocheilus anshuiensis is the source of this 161-nucleotide long non-coding RNA. RefSeq lists it as uncharacterized. The transcript is spliced from 3 exons. The record is from RefSeq and is a predicted model, not a curated record. NCBI's taxonomy places the organism in Eukaryota, Metazoa, Chordata, Actinopteri, Cypriniformes, Cyprinidae.